This 398-nucleotide ribosomal RNA is filed under the name uncultured bacterium. RNAcentral describes it as "bacterial SSU rRNA". It matches the Rfam family "Bacterial small subunit ribosomal RNA", at positions 362 to 776 of the family's 1533-position model. The record is from RNAcentral.
UAUUGCACAAUGGGGGAAACCCAGAUGCAGCAACGCCGCGUGAGCGAAGAAGGCCUUCGGGUCGUAAAGCUCUUUUCUGGGGGAUGAGGAAGGACGGUACCCCAGGAAUAAGUCUCGGCUAACUACGUGCCAGCAGCCGCGGUAAAACGUAGGAGGCGAGCGUUAUCCGGAUUCACUGGGCGUAAAGGGCAAGUAGGCGGUUGUCUAAGUUGGGCGUGACAACUCCCGGCUCAACUGGGAGGGGUCGUUCAAGACUGGAUGACUGGAGGGCAGGAGAGGAAAGUGGAAUUCCUGGUGUAGCGGUGGAAUGCUCAGAUACCAGGAGGAACACCAGUGGCGAAGGCGACUUUCUGGCCUGCACCUGACGCUGAGAGGCGAAAGCUAGGGGAGCGAACGGG